This 1176-nucleotide long non-coding RNA is filed under the name Ananas comosus (pineapple). RNAcentral's name for it is "long non-coding RNA (ACOM_LNC008871)". Lineage: Eukaryota; Viridiplantae; Streptophyta; Magnoliopsida; Poales; Bromeliaceae. The record is from RNAcentral.
UUCUUAUACAUACUGGUUGUAUCUCGCUCGGCGAGCUUUUGCAUACCUGGAUGUAUGUAUGUAUAUGGAAGUUGUUCCUAUUUUUACCAGUUUUAUUCGAUCAGCUCUAUACUACACUUUGUAGUAUUGUAUGUUUUACAGGUACAGUUAUCGCUUCAUAUAUAGGAAAAAUUCUUUUGUAUAUGGCGGAUUUGUCGGCGGGCCGAGAGAACGUGCAAUUCGGGGCGUGACAAUUUGAGACUAAGUUAUACUGUUUGAUAUUUACUUUUCAAAUAAUUUUAAAUUAUGUAAGUUUUAAACAGUGUAAUGUAAUUUAAAACAGUGUAACUUACUCUAAAGCUAUGCAACUUUUAUUUUAUAUGGUACAGCUUAGUCUCUAAUAGCUUUAAAUGGUACAACUUUAUUCAAAAAGUAUAAGUUUUGUCUCAAAAAAUACAACUUUCACUCAAAGAGUGAUAGUUUCGUCUCAAACAUUGUUAUUUUCGUCUCAAACAAUAUAAAUUUUCUUCAUAUAGUAUAACUUUCGUCCAAAAAGUAUAAUUUUUGUAUCAAAGACUGUAAUUUUUUCUCAACGAGUGCAACUUUAUUUUAAAAUAGCGCUACUUCAUCUUCAUCUUCUUUUUUCUUUGAUUUUUUAUUUUUUUCUGUACCAGCGAUGAUAUAUAAUGGUCUUUCAAAAAGGAAAAUUUUUUUCUUAUUUUUUUCUUUUUGUUCUUUACUUUUUUUUUUUUCUACUAUCUACUUCUUUUUUUAUUAUCGCGUCCUCUCCCUCAUCCUCUACCGCAGUCACCGCCCUCGCUAUACAUGCUCUCCCGCCCCGUGGUUCUUAUAUCCUUCGGUACCCUCAUUGCCGUCACUAUCCGCGAGCAUGUGCUCCGCUACAAGUUUACCUCACAUAAUUUAUAUUAUAAGUAUAAGUUUUGUCUCAAAAAAUACAACUUUCACUCAAAGAGUGAUAGUUUCGUCUCAAACAUUGUUAUUUUCGUCUCAAACAAUAUAAAUUUUCUUCAUAUAGUAUAACUUUCGUCCAAAAAGUAUAAUUUUUGUAUCAAAGACUGUAAUUUUUUCUCAACGAGUGCAACUUUAUUUUAAAAUAGCGCUACUUCAUCUUCAUCUUCUUUUUUCUUUGAUUUUUUAUUUUUUUCUGUACCAGUGAUGAUAUAUAAUGGUCUUUCA